RNAcentral lists this ribosomal RNA (208 nucleotides) under uncultured bacterium. RNAcentral describes it as "partial 16S ribosomal RNA". It matches the Rfam family "Bacterial small subunit ribosomal RNA", at positions 568 to 775 of the family's 1533-position model. The record is from RNAcentral.
CGCGUAGGCGGCUUUUUAAGUCAGACGUGAAAUCCCCCGGCUUAACCUGGGAACUGCGUCUGAUACUGGGAAGCUUGAGUUCGGGAGAGGGAUGUAGAAUUCCAGGUGUAGCGGUGAAAUGCGUAGAUAUCUGGAGGAAUACCGGUGGCGAAGGCGGCAUCCUGGACCGAAACUGACGCUGAGGCGCGAAAGCUAGGGGAGCAAACGG